UACUCGAGUGGCGAACGGGUGAGUAACACGUGGGUGAUCUGCCCUGCACUCUGGGAUAAGCCUGGGAAACUGGGUCUAAUACCGGAUAGGAACCAUCUUUAGUGUGGUGGUUGGAAAGUUUUUUCGGUGUAGGAUGAGCUCGCGGCCUAUCAGCUUGUUGGUGGGGUAACGGCCUACCAAGGCGGCGACGGGUAGCCGGCCUGAGAGGGUGUACGGCCACAUUGGGACUGAGAUACGGCCCAG
Molecule: ribosomal RNA, 243 nt
Filed under: uncultured Actinomycetales bacterium
Lineage: Bacteria; Bacillati; Actinomycetota; Actinomycetes; Actinomycetales
Description: partial 16S ribosomal RNA
Rfam family: Bacterial small subunit ribosomal RNA
Source: RNAcentral